Molecule: ribosomal RNA, 468 nt
Filed under: uncultured bacterium
Lineage: Bacteria
Description: partial 16S ribosomal RNA
Rfam family: Bacterial small subunit ribosomal RNA
Source: RNAcentral
GAUGAACGCUGGCGGCGUGCUUAACACAUGCGAGUCGAACGGAAAGGCCCUGCUUUUGUGGGGUGCUCGAGUGGCGAACGGGUGAGUAACACGUGAGUAACCUGCCCUUGACUUUGGGAUAACUUCAGGAAACUGGGGCUAAUACCGGAUAGGAGCUCCUGCUGCAUGGUGGGGGUUGGAAAGUUUCGGCGGUUGGGGAUGGACUCGCGGCUUAUCAGCUUGUUGGUGGGGUAGUGGCUUACCAAGGCUUUGACGGGUAGCCGGCCGGAGAGGGUGACCGGCCACAUUGGGACUGAGAUACGGCCCAGACUCCUACGGGAGGCAGCAGUGGGGAAUAUUGCACAAUGGGCGGAAGCCUGAUGCAGCAACGCCGCGUGCGGGAUGACGGCCUUCGGGUUGUAAACCGCUUUCGCCUGUGACGAAGCGUGAGUGACGGUAAUGGGUAAAGAAGCACCGGCUAACUACGUG